UACGAAGGGGGCUAGCGUUGUUCGGAAUUACUGGGCGUAAAGGGCGCGCAGGCGGCUCUUCAAGUCAGGCGUGAAAGCCCCGGGCUCAACCUGGGAACUGCGCUUGAGACUGGAGAGCUAGAGUUCGGGAGAGGAGAGUGGAAUUCCACGUGUAGCAGUGAAAUGCGUAGAUAUGUGGAGGAACACCGAUGGCGAAGGCAGCCCCCUGGGUCAAGACUGACGCUCAUGCACGAAAGCGUGGGGAGCAAACAGG
This 253-nucleotide ribosomal RNA is filed under the name uncultured prokaryote. RNAcentral's name for it is "partial 16S ribosomal RNA". It matches the Rfam family "Bacterial small subunit ribosomal RNA", at positions 524 to 776 of the family's 1533-position model. The record is from RNAcentral.